GAGAGGGUUUGAAGACGAGGCAAGAAUCUGGCAUCUUAUGCAACAAAAACCUUUAGAUCAAGGGAAAUUCUCUCAACGAAUUGCUUCUCAAACACCAUCCAUGCAUCAGUCACGAAGGCAUCCUAGCCAUGGCGGAGAUGAGUAUCUUGGCCUGGAUGAUAUAUAUGGCUUCUCAUCAAGGAUGGUGGAUCAACACCAAAGUUUCAAUUCAUCUUCCUAUUCACAAUUUCCACAGCAGAAGCUUGCGACAAAUGACCACAUCUUUAAUGGCUUCCAGCACAAUAGCUUGGACGAUAUCCAUCGUGGUAAUGAAGUGGACAACAUGACACAACACCAGUCAAAUGAUUCAUUAGGUUUCAAAAAGUUCUAUGCUGGAUAUGGAGAUGUGAUGUUCCAGACGCCCCGGUCUGGCGAUGUAUACACCAGAGUAUUUGGGAUGUAACACACAACACUUUACUAAAAUGAAAUUGUCCCCAACUAUUUUGUGUUGUUUGCAGAAAAUUAUAAAUAUGUUACCAGUUAAUUACACAUACUUGCCUGGUGUU
Molecule: unclassified non-coding RNA, 545 nt
Filed under: Hevea brasiliensis (rubber tree)
Lineage: Eukaryota; Viridiplantae; Streptophyta; Magnoliopsida; Malpighiales; Euphorbiaceae
Source: RNAcentral